Molecule: ribosomal RNA, 583 nt
Filed under: Parapenaeopsis stylifera
Lineage: Eukaryota; Metazoa; Arthropoda; Malacostraca; Decapoda; Penaeidae
Description: partial 16S ribosomal RNA
Rfam family: Eukaryotic small subunit ribosomal RNA (bases 169-582)
Source: RNAcentral
ACUUAAGUGUUGUUGUUAAUUAAGAGUAUUAUUUUGUGUUAAUAAAGGGUGAAAUCGAUUUUUUGUUAUAUAAUUGAUUCUUGAAAUUAAAGUGAACUGAGGUUGUUAAGGUUAAGGUAUGAACCAGGAUUAGAUACCCUGUUACACUUUACUUAAAAUUAAAUACCUAGGUAGUAAUCAGUUAUGGUCUUGAAACUUAAAGGAUUUGGCGGUAACUUAGUCUAGUUAGAGGAACCUGUCCUGUAAUCGAUAAACCACGGAGAAUCUUACUUUACUUUGAAUUAUCAGUUUAUAUACCGUCAUUAUUAGAUAACUUUAAUAAAAUAAAAGUUAUUAAAAUAAUUUUUAGUUAAUAUAUUAGAUCAAGGUGUAGCUAAUGGUAAAGUAGAGAUGGGUUACAAUAAUAUUAAUUUAUAACGGAGUUAAAGAAGAAUUAGCUUUAAUGAAGGAGGAUUUAAAUGUAAAGUUAUUUUAAUAUGGUAUUUUGAUUAUAGCUCUAGGUUAUGUACACAUCGCCCGUCGCUCUCGUUAUAUAAAGCGAGAUAAGUCGUAACAUAGUAGAUGUACCGGAAGGUGUAUCUAG